Xenia sp. Carnegie-2017 is the source of this 729-nucleotide long non-coding RNA. RefSeq lists it as uncharacterized. Lineage: Eukaryota; Metazoa; Cnidaria; Anthozoa; Malacalcyonacea; Xeniidae. The transcript has 2 exons. The record is from RefSeq and is a predicted model, not a curated record.
AUGCAAUGCGGUGUUUGAAAUUAAAUGAAGAUAUGAUCUGCUUGAAAUGCUUUCUCAUGUGUUUCAUGCCAGUGGAAUUCAAUGUUCUUCUUUAUAAGUUCUCUCAGUGGAGCGGUGACGUCCGAAAUAUUUGGUGCAAACUUGGCGAUGAAAUUAACCAUGCCCAACAACCGUUGGACGUCCUGCUUGUUUUCUGGUUUGGGGUAGUUCUUGAUUGCUUCAACCUUACUCUCAUCAGAACACCUCUUGUGCGAACAUUACUCCAAAGGGUAUUACAGUAAAACGAUAUCGACCAAAUGGCGUAUUAAACGUCGUCAUGUAAGAGCUCUCCUCGUCAAGAGGCAUUUGCCAAAAUCUCGAGUUUGCAUCCAGUUUGCUGAAGAAUUUGGCAUUGGUCAAACGGCUGGUAAUCUCUUGCUGGGUGGGAAGCUGGUAAUGUUCUCUGAGCAAAGCUUUGUUGAGGUCACGUGGAUCGAUGCAAAUGCGUAACUUUCCAGAGCGUUUUUCAUUAACUACCAUCGAGUUGACCCAUGCUGUCGGCUCAUUCACUUUCUUAAUUAUUCCUUUGGAUUCCAUAUCUAUUAGCUCGUUGUGGACACGUUCUCUCAGUGCUGAAUGUGUAUCCCCUUGUAAUGUGUAUCCAUAUUUUUUAGUUCUAUUGUUGAUGGUGUGUAAACGUGAAAUUUUAAGUUUGUUUCAUGAUGACAAUAUGCAACUCUGUUAUCAUCA